UACGUAGGGGGCUAGCGUUGUCCGGAAUCAUUGGGCGUAAAGCGCGUGUAGGCGGCCCGGUAAGUCCGCUGUGAAAGUCGGGGGCUCAACCCUCGGAUGCCGGUGGAUACUGUCGGGCUCGAGUACGGAAGAGGCGAGUGGAAUUCCUGGUGUAGCGGUGAAAUGCGCAGAUAUCAGGAGGAACACCAGCGGCGAAGGCGGCGCUCUGGGCCGAUACUGACGCUGAGGAGCGAAAGCGUGGGGAGCGAACAGG
RNAcentral lists this ribosomal RNA (253 nucleotides) under uncultured bacterium. Its description in RNAcentral is "partial 16S ribosomal RNA". It matches the Rfam family "Bacterial small subunit ribosomal RNA", at positions 524 to 776 of the family's 1533-position model. The record is from RNAcentral.